UACGUAGGGGGCUAGCGUUGUCCGGAAUCAUUGGGCGUAAAGCGCGUGUAGGCGGUCCGGUAAGUCCGCUGUGAAAGUCGGGGGCUCAACCCUCGAAUGCCGGUGGAUACUGUCGGGCUAGAGUGCGGAAGAGGCGAGUGGAAUUCCUGGUGUAGCGGUGAAAUGCGCAGAUAUCAGGAGGAACACCCAUUGCGAAGGCAGCUCGCUGGGACGUAACUGACGCUGAGACGCGAAAGCGUGGGGAGCAAACAGG
This 253-nucleotide ribosomal RNA is filed under the name uncultured bacterium. Its description in RNAcentral is "partial 16S ribosomal RNA". It matches the Rfam family "Bacterial small subunit ribosomal RNA", at positions 524 to 776 of the family's 1533-position model. The record is from RNAcentral.